GCCAGAUCGCCUCGGAUAGGGACCUGGGUUCCAGCGGAGAUGGUAGAAGGCGGGGGCGAGGCUCCAUGUUGGCCGGGAGCCUGGCUUCGCCCUUUGCCCCACGGCCCUCCCAGGCCACUGCCCCAUGGAGAAGCAGAGUCCGUCCUUCCACCCUGUGAAUCUGGCCUGACUUGUGAACACACUGACAGAGAAUAUGGCAGAAAGGAUACUGUGCCAGUUCUGUGUUUCCCCUUCAAGGGAACUGCAGUUUCUCUCUGCUCCAGGGGUCCUGAGCUACAGUUGAAGAAGCCUGGGCUAUGCUGCAGGAGAGAGAGGCCACGUGGAGGAGCUGAGCCGCCAUCUUGGAUGCCCAGCCCAGGGAGCUUCCAGACGAUUCCAGUCCCGGCCACCAUCUGAUUGUAACUGUACCAGAGGCCCCCCAAGGAAGGACCAGCCGGUGAACCCAGACAGCUCAUAGAACCCUAAGGGAAUAAAAUCAGUUAUUCUUUUAAGCACUAGGUUUUGGGUAGUUUGUUUAUACAGUCAUUGAUUUCAGGAACAGUCUGAAAGAUUCACCCCUUUCUCCGUCCUCAUUUGCUGGCUACUUGGGGCAAACAAGGACCUCAAGCUCCGAAGUCCACAGCUGCUCAGAUGGAGACCCCAGUGGUCCCCCCAGUAACCAGGCCCUGGUUAUGGGGCCGAGUUACUGGGUGGCACUCCUCCUUCUGGGAUUGGUAGGAAGCCUUUAGAUUAAAUCAGCAGAUAUUUGUAAAGCAGGUAGAAUGUCCAUGGCACUUCGGGAACUCAAAGAGACCCAUAAUACCUUCUAUUUGAAGAGCAUUAAAUGGCUUACCAAGCUCUUACUACACAUAACCUCAUUUCACCCACCACAGCCAUGGCAGGCAGCAGGGCAGGCAUCACACCUUUUGUUACAGAACAGGAAACUACAUUGAGGCCACACAAGUAGGAAUGGCAGAGCCAGGGCUGGAGGCCAAGUCA
This 978-nucleotide long non-coding RNA is filed under the name Dasypus novemcinctus (nine-banded armadillo). RNAcentral describes it as "lncRNA (ENSDNOG00000052298.1)". Lineage: Eukaryota; Metazoa; Chordata; Mammalia; Cingulata; Dasypodidae. The record is from RNAcentral.